CCUUUCCACAUGCUAGGCACAAAGCACUUUUCAUGAGUUAUUUCCUUUAAUUUCCAUAACAAUCCUACAAAGAAAGUACAAUUAUCAUCCACAUUUUAUUGUUCAAGGAAUCUGACCAAGAAGCUGAAUGUUUCCGAGAGGUAUCCUGAACUGGUCUGACCACUCCUAGGCACUAAAAUCCUGACUGAAACAUUCAGCUGUGGUCCACCCAGGCCAGAUUGUUAUCAAUAACAAUGCCUUCAAAGGGUGUCAUUUGCCCUGGGACAUUGGAAGACAACAAAAGAAUUAAGCGAAACGGACAGAAGCCCAACACUCAAUGCCUUUGAACAUUUGAAUUGUACAACUAAUUUCUCUUGCUCUGAUUCUAGGCUUAUGAAACAAAGCGCUCACAAAUUGAUUUCCCUCAUGCUCACAUUUAGGGAGUAGAGACUAGACUGAGGUGUGGAGAGGGGAAAGCCACUGUCUGUUUGCAGAAGAUUAGCUAACAUCUGCUGCCAAUCCUCCUCCUUUUGCUGAAGAAGACUGGCCCUGAGCUAACAUCUGAGCCCAUCUUCCUCUACUUCAUAUGUGGGACGCCUGCCACAGCCUGGCUUCAUAAGUGGAAUGUAUGUCUGCACCUGGGACCUGAACCAGGGAACCCUGGGCCACCCAAGUGGAGCGCUCAAACUUAACCACUACACCAUUGGGUGGCCCCACUUCCAUCCUCUUGAUGAAGAGUAGAAGAUAAGACAAGGAGAAUUAGAAAGCAGUGUGAAGCCAAGUGGUGUUUGAUCUGCUAUCAAGCCACAAAGAGUUUCAAAACAGGCCACUUUGUCACCCCUCAGAGACUGAGGGAUCUUGGCAUUCCUGGAUGUGUCGAAAGACAAACGAUAAACAGGCAGUGCAGAGAGAGACUAAAUAAAUAUAUGCUUCAGCAGCAUAGAUUUUAGCUCUUAAGGGAAAGGACCUAUUUCAUGUGAUUCUAAUUUUCUGGAAAGCACCACCUAUGUACGUCUCAAGAAUGGUUCAAAUAGCCUGGAAUAAUUUGUUGAUCCUGCUUAUGUUAUCUAUUUUUGCAUUUCCCCAUG
Molecule: long non-coding RNA, 1067 nt
Filed under: Equus asinus (donkey)
Lineage: Eukaryota; Metazoa; Chordata; Mammalia; Perissodactyla; Equidae
Description: lncRNA (ENSEASG00005027069.1)
Source: RNAcentral